Molecule: long non-coding RNA, 921 nt
Filed under: Numida meleagris (helmeted guineafowl)
Lineage: Eukaryota; Metazoa; Chordata; Aves; Galliformes; Numididae
Description: lncRNA (ENSNMEG00000002638.1)
Source: RNAcentral
GAUUUGGGGUCAGGGUCCGGAUUUGGGAUUUGGGAUCUGGAUCCGGAUUUGGGGUCAGGGUCCAGCGCUGGGAUCUGCAGUGGGGGCGCGGGGCCCCGCGUGGUUCCUGGUCUUCUCUCAGAUCCCCAACCCCGCGCCCGCUCCCACCCGCGUCCCCAGCCGGGUGUCACCGUGUCACCACUGCGGUGUCACCGGGGCACCGUGUCCCCAAGAAGAGGUCACCACGUCAUGGUGUCCCCAACGCGAUGUCACCAGGACAUGGUGUCCCCAACGUGAUGUCACCGUGUCCCCAAUACGAUGUCACCAGGACGUGAUGUCCCCAGAGUGAUGUCACCAGGGCAUGGUGUCCCCAAUGCAAUGUCACCAUGUCCCCAACGCGAUGUCACCUGGACAUGAUGUCCCCAGCGCCAUGUCACCAAGACGUGAUGUCCCCAGAGUGAUGUCACCAGGACAUGGUGUCCCCAACGCAAUGUCACCGUGUCCCCAACACGAUGUCACCUGGACAUGAUGUCCCCAGUGCAAUGUCACCGUGUCCCCAACACGAUGUCACCAGGACAUGGUGUCCCCAGCGCGAUGUCACCGGGACAUGGUGUCCCCAACGUGAUGUCACCGGGACAUGGUGUCCCCAGCAUGAUGUCACCGUGUCCCCAGCACGAUGUCACCAGGACAUGGUGUCACCAACACGGUGUCACCGGGACACGAUGUCACCAUGGAGACGCCAGCAGGACACAGUGUCACCCAUGAGAUGUCGCCAGGGCACAGUGUCCCCAAGGAGAUGUCACCACGCCAUGGUGUCCCCAGCGAGGUGUCCCCAUGCCAUGGGGUGUCACCGUGUCACCGAGCCUUCACCUGGACGUGAUGUCCCCAGCGCGAUGUCACCAGGGCACGGUGUCACCAACACGAUGUCACCACGCCGUGGUG